UGAUUUUGAGGGGAAACUAUAUGAAGCAAGGGCGUAGCACAACAUUGUGGGCCCUGUAGAAAGGCCUUUUCUAUGGGCCCUUCCCCACAUGCACAGCUAUAAAUCCUAGCAUCUUUUGGGCCCUCCUCA
Etheostoma spectabile (orangethroat darter) is the source of this 129-nucleotide long non-coding RNA. RefSeq lists it as uncharacterized. Lineage: Eukaryota; Metazoa; Chordata; Actinopteri; Perciformes; Percidae. The transcript has 4 exons. The record is from RefSeq and is a predicted model, not a curated record.